This 297-nucleotide ribosomal RNA is filed under the name uncultured bacterium. RNAcentral's name for it is "partial 16S ribosomal RNA". It matches the Rfam family "Bacterial small subunit ribosomal RNA", at positions 28 to 325 of the family's 1533-position model. The record is from RNAcentral.
GACGAACGCUGGCGGCGUGCUUAACACAUGCAAGUCGAGCGGUAAGGCCCUUUCGGGGGUACACGAGCGGCGAACGGGUGAGUAACACGUGGGUGACCUGCCCUCAGUUCUGGGAUAAGCCUGGGAAACCGGGUCUAAUACUGGAUAUGACCUCAUGACGCAUGUUGUGGGGUGGAAAGCCUUGUGCGACUGAGGAUGGGCCCGCGGCCUAUCAGCUUGUUGGUGGGGUGANGGCCUACCAAGGCGACGACGGGUAGCCGGCCUGAGAGGGCGACCGGCCACACGUGGGACUGAGAC